UACGUGGGGUGCGAGCGUUGUCCGGAAUCACUGGGCGUAAAGGGCGCGUAGGCGGUUUGAUAAGGGUGUGGUGAAAGUCCGGGGCUCAACCCCGGAUCUGCCGUGCCGACUGUCAAACUCGAGGACUGUAGAGGCAGACGGAAUUCCGGGUGUAGCGGUGGAAUGCGUAGAGAUCCGGAGGAAGACCGGUGGCGAAGGCGGUCUGCUGGGCAGUUUCUGACACUGAGGCGCGACAGCGUGGGGAGCAAACAGG
Molecule: ribosomal RNA, 253 nt
Filed under: uncultured bacterium
Lineage: Bacteria
Description: partial 16S ribosomal RNA
Rfam family: Bacterial small subunit ribosomal RNA
Source: RNAcentral